Molecule: ribosomal RNA, 478 nt
Filed under: uncultured bacterium
Lineage: Bacteria
Description: partial 16S ribosomal RNA
Rfam family: Bacterial small subunit ribosomal RNA
Source: RNAcentral
GACGAACGCUGGCGGCGUGCUUAACACAUGCAAGUCGAGCGAUGAAGUUCCUUCGGGAAUGGAUUAGCGGCGGACGGGUGAGUAACACGUGGGUAACCUGCCUCAUAGAGGGGAAUAGCCUUUCGAAAGGAAGAUUAAUACCGCAUAAAAUUGUAGUGCCGCAUGGCAUAGCAAUUAAAGGAGUAAUCCGCUAUGAGAUGGACCCGCGUCGCAUUAGCUAGUUGGUGAGGUAACGGCUCACCAAGGCGACGAUGCGUAGCCGACCUGAGAGGGUGAUAGGCCACAUUGGGACUGAGACACGGCCCAGACUCCGACGGGAGGCAGCAGUGGGGAAUAUUGCACAAUGGGGGAAACCCUGAUGCAGCACCGCCGCGUGAGGGAUGACGGUCUUCGGAGUGUAAAGCUCUGUCUUCAGGGACGAUAAUGACGGUACCUGAGGAGGAAGCCACGGCUAACUACGUGCCAGCCGCCGCGGUAA